This 467-nucleotide ribosomal RNA is filed under the name uncultured bacterium. Its description in RNAcentral is "partial 16S ribosomal RNA". It matches the Rfam family "Bacterial small subunit ribosomal RNA", at positions 28 to 506 of the family's 1533-position model. The record is from RNAcentral.
GACGAACGCUGGCGGCGUGCUUAACACAUGCAAGUCGAACGGAAAGGCCCUGCUUUUGUGGGGUGCUCGAGUGGCGAACGGGUGAGUGACACGUGAGUAACCUGCCCUUGACUUUGGGAUAACUUCAGGAAACUGGGGCUAAUACCGGAUAGGAGCUCCUGCUGCAUGGUGGGGGUUGGAAAGUUUCGGCGGUUGGGGAUGGACUCGCGGCUUAUCAGCUUGUUGGUGGGGUAGUGGCUUACCAAGGCUUUGACGGGUAGCCGGCCUGAGAGGGUGACCGGCCACAUUGGGACUGGGAUACGGCCCAGACUCCUACGGGGGGCAGCAGUGGGGAAUAUUGCACAAUGGGCGGAAGCCUGAUGCAGCAACGCCGCGUGCGGGAUGACGGCCUUCGGGUUGUAAACCGCUUUCGCCUGUGACGAAGCGUGAGUGACGGUAAUGGGUAAAGAAGCACCGGCUAACUACGU